GUAGGGAAUAUUGGGCAAUGGAAGGAAUUCUGACCCAGCCAUGCCGCGUGCAGGAAUACAGUCCUAUGGACUUUAAACUGCUUUUAUUAUAGAGUAACCUGGGGGACGUGUCCCCCACUGCAAGUAUAUAAUGAAUAAGCAUCGGCUAACUCCGUGCCAGCAGCCGCGGUAAUACGGGGGAUGCAAGCGUUAUCCGGAUUUAUUGGGUUUAAAGGGUGCGCAGGCUGAUCGGUAAGUCAUGGGUGAAAAGUCACUGCUUAACAGUGAUCGUGCCUAUGAUACUGCCGGACUAGAGUUUAAGAGGUGUAACUGGAAUGUGAUGUGUAGCGGUGAAAUGCUUAGAUAUGUCACAGAACGCCAAUCGUGAAGACAGGUUACAAACUUAAUACUGACGCUCAUGCACGAAAGCGUGGGGAUCAAACAGGAUUAGAUACCCCAGUAGUCC
Molecule: ribosomal RNA, 445 nt
Filed under: uncultured bacterium
Lineage: Bacteria
Description: partial 16S ribosomal RNA
Rfam family: Bacterial small subunit ribosomal RNA
Source: RNAcentral